Molecule: ribosomal RNA, 301 nt
Filed under: uncultured bacterium
Lineage: Bacteria
Description: partial 16S ribosomal RNA
Rfam family: Bacterial small subunit ribosomal RNA
Source: RNAcentral
CAGCAGCCGCGGUAAUACGAGGGGGGCAAGCGUUGUUCGGAAUUAUUGGGCGUAAAGGGUGCGUAGGCGGUUUGACAAGUCUUAUGUGAAAUCUCUGGGCUCAACCCAGAGUCUGCAUGGGAAACUGUCGAGCUUGAGUAUGGAGAGGUGAGUGGAAUUUCCGGUGUAGCGGUGAAAUGCGUAGAUAUCGGAAGGAACACCUGUGGCGAAAGCGGCUCACUGGACCAUUACUGACGCUGAUGCACGAAAGCUAGGGGAGCAAACAGGAUUAGAUACCCCAGUAGUCCCUGUCUCUUAUACC